This 451-nucleotide ribosomal RNA is filed under the name uncultured bacterium. RNAcentral's name for it is "bacterial SSU rRNA". It matches the Rfam family "Bacterial small subunit ribosomal RNA", at positions 29 to 524 of the family's 1533-position model. The record is from RNAcentral.
AACGAACGCUGGUGGCAUGCCUAACACAUGCAAGUCGAACGAAGCCUUCGGGCUUAGUGGCGCACGGGUGCGUAACACGUGGGAAUCUGCCCUUCGGUUCGGAAUAACAGUUAGAAAUGACUGCUAAUACCGGAUGAUGACGUAAGUCCAAAGAUUUAUCGCCGAAGGAUGAGCCCGCGUAGGAUUAGGUAGUUGGUAGGGUAAUGGCCUACCAAGCCGACGAUCCUUAGCUGGUCUGAGAGGAUGAUCAGCCACACUGGGACUGAGACACGGCCCAGACUCCUACGGGAGGCAGCAGUGGGGAAUAUUGGACAAUGGGCGAAAGCCUGAUCCAGCAAUGCCGCGUGAGUGAUGAAGGCCUUAGGGUUGUAAAGCUCUUUUACCAGGGAUGAUAAUGACAGUACCUGGAGAAUAAGACUCCGGCUAACUCCGUGCCAGCAGCCGCGGUAAU